GUUACGGGCAGCCAGGCCUGGCCGGAGAUGCCGAAGUCGUGCGCGGCCUGGCAGUGCUGCAACCGCUACAGCAGCCGCAGGAAGCAGCUCACCUUCCACCGCAGGUGAGGGAGAACACACACACUGCCAGUGAGAGAGGAAAUGCCAGCUCUUCUCAGAAAGAAAAGGUCCUCCCUGAGGCGGGGGCCGGAGAGGACAGCCCUGGGAGAAACAUGGACACUGCGCUUGAAGAGCUUCAGUUGCCCCCAAAUGCCAAAGGCCCCGUAAAACAGAUCUCGCCACGGAGUCCGCAAGCAGCAGAGACUGUUGGCCGGCCGGCCGGCCCUGCAGGCUUGAGAAGGCCCCCCGACAAGCAGCCAUCUGAUCACAGCUAUGCCCUUUUGGACUUAGAUUCCCUGAAGAAAAAAACUCUUCCUCACUCUGAAGGAAAAUGAAACGCUCCAGAAGCGCUUGCAGGCCCAGAGGCUGGUGAAGCGAAGGAUGUCCAGCUGCCUCCGUGCCUGCAAAGGGCACCGGGGACUCCAGGCCAGACUUGGGCCAGAGCAGCAGAGCUGAGCCCCACAGGCUCCGGACGCAGAGGCGGCAGUGGCACCAGGGCCGGCAGGGCUUUGGAGCUCUGGCUGUGGACAUUUUUGUCUGCUGUGGACAUUGAGAAAGUUGGCCGUGAGGCCUGCCGGGCGGGGGAUUGAAACAGUAACCAAGCUCCCUGGCGAGAGCCCCGACGCCGUCUGAAGGACGUUUAGAGGCAUGGUACUAGGACUGAGCAUGACAAGCUUAUCCUCCCAUAGUAACAGAAGUCCAGGCUGAGGCUGAUUCUGAACUCUGUCCUUUCAGCACGCGCAGAGCGAAGGUCGUUGGAAGCCCCAGUAUGGGAGAUGCUCCUCAGGGAGGAAGCCAUGUGAGGGGGCCGGCUCUGUGGCAGACCUAUAUGAAGCUUUGGCAGUUCAAAGGGUCAGAGAGACCCCUCAAAGAAAGAUACUGGCCUUGUUGAACAGCUGGACUGACAGGCCCAAGUGAAUGAACACCCAUGCCCCUGGAAACUGUGCAUUAGAGGAGAAAACAGAGAAACUUCCUUUGGGCCUGACUGGGUAUUCAGUGACCAUCAGGUCAUUUCAUUUGAUUUGUUGGAAUCCUGACCAAACUGGAAAAGUGGCAGUAACCAUGGAAAAGUCAAAGACAAAAUGACAGCCAAAUCACACCAGUAAAUAAGUGGAGUGAAGACACGUCUGUUUUCACAGCUGAACACUGGAAAUUGCAAAUUUGAUUGCCACUGGCAUUGGAUGCUGGAACUGCUUCUGUUUUUACUGACACUAGCAUACCGGGAUACUUCGAAGUUGCUGUAGUCUCUGCAAUAUUGAGUGUUGGAAGGUGCUAGAAAAUGAGUGUCUGUCUUUUUUGUCUUUUAUACUGGAAGGCAAUCACCUAGACCUAUGCUGGAGAGUCAUCCUACAAGGUCAUUCAAAUGUACAAUAAACUGGUAUGUGUAUUAGUUACUUAUUACAGUACAAUAAGUUAAUCACAAAUAUGAAUGACUAAAACAAAAAAUGUUUAGUAUCUUGCAGUUUCUCUGGUCAGGAAUGUAUUGGCAGCUUAACUGAGUGGUUCUAGCUCAAGGUCUUUCAUGAAGGACCUGGUAGGGGCUGCAGGCAUCUGCUGUCUUGACAGGAGCUGGGGAAUUUGCUUACACGGUGACCCACUCACAUGGCCAUUGGAAGGAGGCACCAAUUUCCUGCCACAUGGGCCUCUUCGUAGGACUACAUUUGUGUUAUCAUGAUGUAGCAGCUGGCUUCUCCAGCGUGAGUAACGUAAGGGGGAGGAAGACAGGCAGAAGCCACGAUUUUUGUUAUAACUUAGCCUCAUAAACUACAUGUCAUCACUUCUGUCAUAUUUAUUGAUCACAUAAAGCAACAAUGAUAUAAAGAAGAAGAGUAGAGUUUAUUUCAUCACUUACAUUUCAAUUUUGGCUACUUAAUUUUAAUCAUAGAGUCUACAAUAGGGGUUUAUUUUAUUAAUCCAAGUAGUACCAAAUAUUACUCUGAGUUUGUUUAAUUAAUAUCCCUAUGAAUUCCUGGGGUUUCAGUCCACUUUGGGAAGAGGCUAGUUUGUUUUCAUAUCUUAAAAGUGAGUAAUAUCAGCAUUGUUGGUAAUUCUAUACCUUCAUAUUCCCAAAGUAGUAUCAAGCAAAUACAUGGUAAGAGUGAGCAUGAGAAGUUGAUGCUGUUCAGUUAUCUGGAUAGCAGGCUAAGCAUUAUUGAUAGAAAAAUCUGCAGCUAUACUCAGAAAACUCAGAACUUCAUGGCAACUUUUUUUUAAAUUAAAAUACAGUUCUUAAGGUUUCAAAGUUUUAUUUCUGUUUUUGUCAAAUAAAACUGUUCUUUCAGAGACCAAUAGUUAGAGGAAGAAACAAAUUAUAUGGACCUCUGGUACAAUUUCCCAAUCUGUGAGCUACCAGACCUGAGUGUUUUGGUAAGA
Molecule: long non-coding RNA, 2472 nt
Filed under: Homo sapiens (human)
Lineage: Eukaryota; Metazoa; Chordata; Mammalia; Primates; Hominidae
Description: PREDICTED lncRNA (TCONS_00006087)
Source: RNAcentral